UACGGAGGAUGCAAGCGUUAUCCGGAAUUAUUGGGCGUAAAGCGUCCGCAAGUGGCACUUCAAGUCUGUCGUCAAAGACCGGGGCUUAACCCUGGAAAGGCGAUGGAAACUGAAAGGCUAGAGAGAGGUAGGGGUAGAGGGAAUUCCCAGUGUAGCGGUGAAAUGCGUAGAGAUUGGGAAGAACAUCGGUGGCGAAAGCGCUCUACUGGACUGCAACUGACACUCAGGGACGAAAGCUAGGGGAGCGAAUGGG
RNAcentral lists this ribosomal RNA (253 nucleotides) under uncultured bacterium. Its description in RNAcentral is "partial 16S ribosomal RNA". It matches the Rfam family "Bacterial small subunit ribosomal RNA", at positions 524 to 776 of the family's 1533-position model. The record is from RNAcentral.